UUUGUUAUACCCAAAGUUGGCAUGGGUCUCGACAGAUCCACAUCGACAAAUCAACAUUCGUUAAGAUGGGCCUAUCCAUCUUAAUUAACAAAAGAGUUUCAACCCCAAUAUCAGAAUUGGACCAAGUUUUCUAUUCUCGUCAUUCCACCAGGUCAUUUCAUCAAUAGACCUCCUUUACUUAAGAAGAUUAUCAAUGCUGUAAACCCAUUCUUAGAAUAGGGGUCGCUACAUGAAAGUGGCUCCUGGGUCGCUACACCCGGAUCGUCAUCCGGGAUCGUCAUCCUUAGGGGUCGCUCCUUUCUGACUCAUUCUUCAACAAAACUCUCCAGCCUUAUCAUUUAUACUCCAAGGUGGCACUUGGGGAGUCAUCAACUUUAUACGACUCAUAAGAGUCCCGGCUAGAGCGGCAUAAGUGUAUCUAAUAAGGUCUCUACCUCCGCCAUAAUGAGGUCUCUACCUCCGUUCUCUUGAGAUCUAAACCUUUGGUUACUAGAUCGUUAUCCAUUAUUCGAUCCACUUCAUGGCAGCUCGUUAGUCAUCUAGGCUUGGGAUAUACGAGCUACGGGCCUUCUUAAGAGCGCUUAUACGGACCUGUGCCCUGAUGGACCGCGAUAAAUCUCAUUCCAUCUAGAUUAUUUGUUCCGAAAGAACUACGUGAUAGUUUCAACCCUAUAAAUAGGUAAUGUAAGCCUCUUGUGUCGCCAACUUGAUUCUCGUUAAGAACGCCGAAAAACACUUUUUCUUGUUUGUUUAUGGAUCAUUAGCUACAAUAUCCAUCACCCUAUAUAUGUGUUUCAUAACGUUUUUGCUACAUUCAAGCAAGUUCCUACA
Long non-coding RNA from Daucus carota subsp. sativus, 831 nucleotides. RefSeq lists it as uncharacterized. The record is from RefSeq and is a predicted model, not a curated record. NCBI's taxonomy places the organism in Eukaryota, Viridiplantae, Streptophyta, Magnoliopsida, Apiales, Apiaceae. The transcript is spliced from 2 exons.